CGGUUUGGUGACUGAGUGGCGGACGGGUGAGUAACGCGUGGGGAACCUGCCCCAUACCGGGGGAUAACAGCCGGAAACGGCUGCUAAUACCGCAUAAGCGCACAGUACCGCAUGGUACGGUGUGAAAAACUCCGGUGGUAUGGGAUGGACCCGCGUCUGAUUAGCCAGUUGGCGGGGUAACGGCCCACCAAAGCGACGAUCAGUAGCCGGCCUGAGAGGGCGACCGGCCACAUUGGGACUGAGACACGGCCCAGACUCCCACGGGAGGCAGCAGUGGGGAAUAUUGCACAAUGGGGGAAACCCUGAUGCAGCGACGCCGCGUGAAGGAAGAAGUAUCUCGGUAUGUAAACUUCUAUCAGCAGGGAAGAUAAUGACGGUACCUGACUAAGAAGCCCCGGCUAACUACGUGCCAGCAGCCGCGGUAAUACGUAGGGGGCAAGCGUUAUCCGGAUUUACUGGGUGUAAAGGGAGCGUAGACGGCGCAGCAAGUCUGAUGUGAAAGGCAGGGGCUUAACCCCUGGACUGCAUUGGAAACUGCUGUGCUUGAGUGCCGGAGGGGUAAGCGGAAUUCCUAGUGUAGCGGUGAAAUGCGUAGAUAUUAGGAGGAACACCAGUGGCGAAGGCGGCU
This 628-nucleotide ribosomal RNA is filed under the name uncultured Lachnospiraceae bacterium. Its description in RNAcentral is "bacterial SSU rRNA". It matches the Rfam family "Bacterial small subunit ribosomal RNA", at positions 80 to 726 of the family's 1533-position model. Lineage: Bacteria; Bacillati; Bacillota; Clostridia; Lachnospirales; Lachnospiraceae. The record is from RNAcentral.